UGAGGAAUAUUGGUCAAUGGCCGGAAGGCUGAACCAGCCAAGUCGCGUGAGGGACUAAGGCCCUACGGGUCGUAAACCUCUUUUGUCGGGGAGCAAUGGGUGACUUGCGAGUCAUCAGGGAGAGUACCCGAAGAAAAAGCAUCGGCUAACUCCGUGCC
Molecule: ribosomal RNA, 158 nt
Filed under: uncultured bacterium
Lineage: Bacteria
Description: partial 16S ribosomal RNA
Rfam family: Bacterial small subunit ribosomal RNA
Source: RNAcentral